CUGGAAAUCCAUGGGCGAUGAUGGAGGGGCGUCUGACAUGGUGGCAGUUUGAUCUUCCCGUCUGUGGGUAGAUAUGGUAUACGUCAGUGCGUAUGUAGCUACACAGUGGCUUCCACGUACAACUGGGGGUCACCCAGGUACCAUAUAAUCAGUACCACUAGGAAUUUGAGUAGUGGUCUGUAGAGGGGGUCACCCUCUCAUCGACCGGG
Non-coding RNA from Pelobates cultripes (western spadefoot toad), 209 nucleotides. The record is from the annotation of a GenBank genome assembly. NCBI's taxonomy places the organism in Eukaryota, Metazoa, Chordata, Amphibia, Anura, Pelobatidae.